RNAcentral lists this ribosomal RNA (433 nucleotides) under uncultured bacterium. RNAcentral describes it as "partial 16S ribosomal RNA". It matches the Rfam family "Bacterial small subunit ribosomal RNA", at positions 29 to 507 of the family's 1533-position model. The record is from RNAcentral.
AACGAACGCUGGCGGCAUGCCUAACACAUGCAAGUCGAACGAGACCUUCGGGUCUAGUGGCGCACGGGUGCGUAACGCGUGGGAACCUGCCCUUAGGUUCGGAAUAAUUCCCCGAAAGGGGUGCUAAUACCGGAUAAUGUCUUCGGACCAAAGAUUUAUCGCCUUUGGAUGGGCCCGCGUUGGAUUAGCUAGUUGGUAGGGUAAAAGCCUACCAAGGCGACGAUCCAUAGCUGGUCUGGGAGGAUGAUCAGCCACACUGGGACUGAGACACGGCCCAGACUCCUACGGGAGGCAGCAGUGGGGAAUAUUGGACAAUGGGCGAAAGCCUGAUCCAGCAAUGCCGCGUGAGUGAUGAAGGCCUUAGGGUUGUAAAGCUCUUUUACCCGGGAUGAUAAUGACAGUACCGGGAGAAUAAGCUCCGGCUAACUCCGUG